CGGAACGUACCGAGUAAUGGGGGAUAACGCAGCGAAAGUUGUGCUAAUACCGCAUACGCCCUGAGGGGGAAAGUGGGGGAUCGUAAGACCUCACGUUAUUCGAGCGGCCGACGUCUGAUUAGCUAGUUGGUGAGGUAAUGGCCCACCAAGGCGACGAUCAGUAGCGGGUCUGAGAGGAUGAUCCGCCACACUGGGACUGAGACACGGCCCAGACUCCUACGGGAGGCAGCAGUGGGGAAUUUUGGACAAUGGGGGCAACCCUGAUCCAGCCAUUCCGCGUGAGUGAAGAAGGCCUUCGGGUUGUAAAGCUCUUUCAGCAGGAACGAAACGGUAGAGGCUAAUACCCUCUGCUAAUGACGGUACCUGCAGAAGAAGCACCGGCUAACUACGUGCCAGCAGCCGCGGUAAUACGUAGGGUGCGAGCGUUAAUCGGAAUUACUGGGCGUAAAGCGUGCGCAGGCGGAUUGUUAAGCAAGACGUGAAAUCCCCGGGCUUAACCUGGGAAUGGCGUUUUGAACUGGCAGUCUAGAGUGUGUCAGAGGGGGGUGGAAUUCCACGUGUAGCAGUGAAGUGCGUAGAGAUGUGGAGGAACACCAAUGGCGAAGGCAGCCCCCUGGGAUAACACUGACGCUCAUGUACGAAGGCGUGGGUAGCAAACAGGAUUAGAUACCCUGGUAGUCCACGCCCUAAACGAUGUCAACUGGUUGUUGGGGGAGUGAAAUCCCUUAGUAACGAAGCUAACGCGUGAAGUUGACCGCCUGGGGAGUACGGUCGCAAGAUUAAAACUCAAAGGAAUUGACGGGGACCCGCACAAGCGGUGGAUGAUGUGGAUUAAUUCGAUGCAACGCGAAAAACCUUACCUACCCUUGACAUGUCCAGAACCCUGCAGAGAUGCGGGAGUGCCCGAAAGGGAAUUGGAACACAGGUGCUGCAUGGCUGUCGUCAGCUCGUGUCGUGAGAUGUUGGGUUAAGUCCCGCAACGAGCGCAACCCUUAUCAUUAGUUGCUACGCAAGGGCACUCUAAUGAGACUGCCGGUGACAAACCGGAGGAAGGUGGGGAUGACGUCAAGUCCUCAUGGCCCUUAUGGGUAGGGCUUCACACGUCAUACAUGGUCGGUACAGAGGGUUGCCAAGCCGCGAGGUGGAGCCAAUCCCAGAAAGCCGAUCGUAGUCCGGAUUGUUCUCUGCAACUCGAGAGCAUGAAGUCGGAAUCGCUAGUAAUCGCGGAUCAGCAUGUCGCGGUGAAUACGUUCCCGGGUCUUGUACACACCGCCCGUCACACCAUGGGAGUGGAAUCUGCCAGAAGUAGGUAGCCUAACCGCAAGGAGGGCGCUUACCACGGUGGGUUUCAUGACUG
This 1357-nucleotide ribosomal RNA is filed under the name metagenome. RNAcentral's name for it is "bacterial SSU rRNA". It matches the Rfam family "Bacterial small subunit ribosomal RNA", at positions 119 to 1477 of the family's 1533-position model. The record is from RNAcentral.